Hermetia illucens (black soldier fly) is the source of this 475-nucleotide long non-coding RNA. RefSeq lists it as uncharacterized. The record is from RefSeq and is a predicted model, not a curated record. The transcript has 2 exons. Lineage: Eukaryota; Metazoa; Arthropoda; Insecta; Diptera; Stratiomyidae.
UUGUCACAGUUCUCCUAGUGCGUAGGCGGCGAGGAAGUGAGUCAUGUUGUCAACUAAAAUGGAAGUGAGAUUCAUUAAUCGGUUUUCAAAUCGCUCGAUUUUUUUAAUGGCGUCAAGAAAAUAUCACAAAUGUCACACAAUCUUCACUGUUCUCAGAAACUUUUAAAGCUAUUUUAGUAUUUUUUUUCAUGAAAAUGAUCGUAAUACUCGUUAUUAUGGCCUGAACUAGAAUUUUCGAUAUUUGUGGACAUUAAGUCCACUUUUUCGAUGUUUUAGGUGAUAGAAAUGAGGCUCUGGAGCUAUAUGUGUUCUAAAUUAAUGGUUUGGUCAAAAAUUCAGGAGAAGUUGGAUCAAGUCUCAAAAGAAAGGGCGACUUCAAUAUCAAAUACAACCCUAUGUACAACAACAAAGCCGGAUUCAUUCUUUUAAUUUGAUUUUAUUCUGUAUCUAUUAAAUAAAAAAAACUUAAAAUUAA